This 266-nucleotide long non-coding RNA is filed under the name Setaria italica (foxtail millet). RNAcentral's name for it is "long non-coding RNA (SITA_LNC006160)". The record is from RNAcentral. Lineage: Eukaryota; Viridiplantae; Streptophyta; Magnoliopsida; Poales; Poaceae.
UUUGUAUGCCAAAUAAUUAUUCAAAUACCUACUAUAUAUACACACUGUAUUUCCUUCUUCCAGAGAUCCUUUUUCUAAUUUAUAACAAUAAUAAUUAUAGAAUAAUAAAGGCUUACCUUAGCAUUGUCUUAUUACAAAGUAAUUCUGUCACAACAAAAUGAUUUCACAAGUAGGGAUGAAAAUGUGAAAAUGGAUAUCCGAAUUAUCUGAAUCCGUAUCCACUAAAACGACAAAUAUGGAUAUUCGUAUUCAUAAACGAAUUUAAU